This 478-nucleotide ribosomal RNA is filed under the name uncultured bacterium. RNAcentral's name for it is "partial 16S ribosomal RNA". It matches the Rfam family "Bacterial small subunit ribosomal RNA", at positions 28 to 523 of the family's 1533-position model. The record is from RNAcentral.
GACGAACGCUGGCGGCGUGCUUAACACAUGCAAGUCGAACGGUAAGGCCCUUCGGGGUACACGAGUGGCGAACGGGUGAGUAACACGUGGGUGAUCUGCCCUGCACUUCGGGAUAAGCCUGGGAAACUGGGUCUAAUACCGGAUAGGACCACUGCCUGCAUGGGUGGUGGUGGAAAGCUCUUGCGGUGUGGGAUGGGCCCGCGGGCUAUCAGCUUGUUGGUGGGGUGAUGGCCUACCAAGGCGGCGACGGGUAGCCGGCCUGAGAGGGUGACCGGCCACACUGGGACUGAGAUACGGGCCAGACUCCUACGGGAGGCAGCAGUGGGGGAUAUUGCACAAUGGGCGCAAGCCUGAUGCAGCGACGCCGCGUGAGGGAUGACGGCCUUCGGGUUGUAAACCUCUUUCAGCACCGACGAAGCGCAAGUGACGGUAGGUGCAGAAGAAGGACCGGCCAACUACGUGCCAGCAGCCGCAGUAA